Non-coding RNA from Triticum aestivum (bread wheat), 47 nucleotides. The record is from Rfam. NCBI's taxonomy places the organism in Eukaryota, Viridiplantae, Streptophyta, Magnoliopsida, Poales, Poaceae.
CCUACGGUUCUUUUUGGAACCAUUGAACUUUUUAGUAUUCUUAGAGU